This 253-nucleotide ribosomal RNA is filed under the name uncultured bacterium. RNAcentral describes it as "partial 16S ribosomal RNA". It matches the Rfam family "Bacterial small subunit ribosomal RNA", at positions 524 to 776 of the family's 1533-position model. The record is from RNAcentral.
UACAGAGGUCUCAAGCGUUGUUCGGAUUAAUUGGGCGUAAAGGGUGCGUAGGAGGCGCGGUAAGUCGGGGGUGAAAUCUCGGAGCUUAACUCCGAAACUGCAUUCGAUACUGCCGUGCUUGAGGACUGGAGAGGAGACUGGAAUUUACGGUGUAGCGGUGAAAUGCGUAGAUAUCGUAAGGAAGACCAGUGGCGAAGGCGGGUCUCUGGACAGUUCCUGACGCUGAGGCACGAAGGUCAGGGGAGCAAACGGG